UAAGUACUGUCAAUAUCCACCAUACUAGCUUUUGCUAUCCAAAAUUUGGUAUUUUAGAUUUUUUAGUGCUUAGCCUAUAUCACGUCUUCCUUAAAAGGAAGUUUUGACAUAACUGGUAAAGUUGUUGCCAUGUGAUCAAGAGGUCACAGGUUCCUGGUCACGGGUUCGAGCUAUGGAAACAACCUCUUGCAAAUAUGCAAGGUAAGGUCGCGUACAAUAGACCCUUGUGGUCCGGCCUUUUCCGGACCUCGCGCAUAGCGGGAGCUUAGUGCAUCGGGCUGCCCUUUAGCCUGUAACAAGUCUGAAUGGAUGAGGGUCGGGGUAGGCUGACAACCAACGUAUAUUAGUCAAUUUACGAUGAAUCCUUACAAUACAUUAUUUUUUGGCAUAACUGGUAAAGUUGUUGUCAUGUGACCAGGAGGUCACAGGUUCGAGCCGUGGAAAUAGCUUCUUGCAAAAAUAGAGGGUAACAACAGACCUGUGGUCAUGCCCUUUUCCGGACCCCGCGCAUAGUGGGAGCUUAGUGCAUCAAGCUGCCCUUUCGCCUGUACCAAGUCUAAAUGGAUGUGGGUCGGGGGUAGGCUGACAACCAGCGUAUGAUUAGUCAAUUUACGAUGAUUUCGGGUUCGAGUCGUGGAAACAGUUUCUUGCAAAAAUGCAGGAUAAGACCGUGUACAAUAGACCUUUGUGGUCCAGCCCUUUUCCAGACGCCCCGCAUAGCGGGAGCUUAGUGCAUUGGGCUGCCCUUUUACCUGUACCAAGUCUGAAUGGAUGAGGGACAGGGUUGGCUGACAACCAGCGUAUGAUUAGUCAAUUUAUGAUGAAUCCUCACAAGACAGUAUUUUUACUACUUACUUUUACAGGUAACGAUGAUAUUCAACGAGGUUUUAAGGUUGUACCCACCGGGAAUUACCAUAAGUCGAACUGUACACGAGGAUACCAAAUUAGGGA
Molecule: long non-coding RNA, 951 nt
Filed under: Nicotiana tabacum (common tobacco)
Lineage: Eukaryota; Viridiplantae; Streptophyta; Magnoliopsida; Solanales; Solanaceae
Description: long non-coding RNA (NTAB_LNC010058)
Source: RNAcentral